Ailuropoda melanoleuca (giant panda) is the source of this 352-nucleotide long non-coding RNA. RefSeq lists it as uncharacterized. The record is from RefSeq and is a predicted model, not a curated record. Lineage: Eukaryota; Metazoa; Chordata; Mammalia; Carnivora; Ursidae. The transcript has 3 exons.
GUGGCUUGGAAGAAGGAAGAAGGGAGAAGAGGAACACCGAACAGCUACUCUGCAGGACACACGUCCCGAGUUCCAGGAACUUUGCCAGGCCCGGGAGAAAACGCUGAAAGGAUGGGUGCACUGGCCCUGCAGAGGACAUCUGGACAGACCCCAUCUGGACAGACAGCACCCAUGGCCUGGGCUGGGUUUCCUACAAAUUUCCUGCAUAACAAGAAAUGGCAACCGAAAUUUCUAGAACCCCCAUGUCAUAAGACUAGAAGCCCCAUUGUGGGCACUCGUGCACACCGGAUGAGUCAACAUGCACAAUAAGGGGCAAACCGCUCGCUCACUCCACGUGACCGCUCUGCUGGUU